This 256-nucleotide ribosomal RNA is filed under the name uncultured bacterium. RNAcentral's name for it is "partial 16S ribosomal RNA". It matches the Rfam family "Bacterial small subunit ribosomal RNA", at positions 524 to 776 of the family's 1533-position model. The record is from RNAcentral.
GACAGAGGGUGCAAACGUUGUUCGGAAUUACUGGGCGUAAAGCGUGUGUAGGCGGCUUUGCAAGUCGGAUGUGAAAGCCCUGGGCUCAACCCAGGAAGUGCACUCGAUACUGCAGAGCUUGAGUGUCGGAGAGGUUGGUGGAAUUUCUCGGGUGUAGAGGUGAAAUUCGUAGAUAUCGAGAGGAACACCGGUGGCGAAGGCGGCCAAACUGGACGAACACUGACGCUGAGACACGAAAGCGUGGGGAGCAAACAGG